This 75-nucleotide transfer RNA is filed under the name Patescibacteria group bacterium. RNAcentral describes it as "tRNA-Gly". It matches the Rfam family "tRNA". From Rfam's summary of the family: Transfer RNA (tRNA) molecules are approximately 80 nucleotides in length. RNAcentral also lists the same sequence under 1 other name. The record is from RNAcentral.
GCGGGUGUCGUAUAACGGCUAUUAUUCGAGGUUUCCAACCUUGAGACGCGGGUUCGAUUCCCGCCACCCGCUCCA